Molecule: transfer RNA, 72 nt
Filed under: Ornithorhynchus anatinus (platypus)
Lineage: Eukaryota; Metazoa; Chordata; Mammalia; Monotremata; Ornithorhynchidae
Rfam family: tRNA
About the family: Transfer RNA (tRNA) molecules are approximately 80 nucleotides in length.
Source: Rfam by way of RNAcentral
AGCAGAGUGGCUCAGUGGAAAGAGCACGGGCUUUGGAGUCAGAGGUCAUGAGUUUGAAUCCCAGCUCUGCCA